AUAUUUAUUUUUAAUUUCUGUUACGAUCUAUCUUGUAAUAAUUUUGGCGAUUGAUUUGACGCGCGCUACAAUACGAGCCGAUUGCAUAUGGCGACGGAUAGUUGAGAAAGUGUAUCCCUCUUUUCAGUGACGGUUUUUUGCAUAUUUUUGUGGCGUCUAGCAUCGAUUGCGGAUAUUAGGUGUAUUUGCAGAAGCGGUAUCUUGUAUCUUGUGCCGUUUGACACUGAUGAAUUACAGAGUACUGCCGCGAAUCUAAUAGCGGUGUUUUUCCAUAACCUCGUAAAUCGUGCGAAGAACAGUCUGUUGCAGGCAGUUUAUGUUAUAGAUAUGGCACCAACAAAAAAAGCCGAUUUAGAAAAGUUAGCAUGGGCAUGGGUAGAAGUCAUUAUUCCAGAACAAAUUGAAAAAAUACAUUUAGAAACUGCAUACAGAAUUGGAUUAAAAAGUUGUAAAAAUUGCAAACGGAAUUGUACAAAUAAUCCUCAAUGCCUGACAGGUUUAGGAGAAGAAAAAUAUAUGAAGUCACAACCCACAGAGGUAGUGCCUUUAGAGAGCUCUCUAUCUGAAUUACGUGAUCCGACGCAAUAUGUCGGAUUAAAAAACUUGGGUGCUACUUGCUACGUUAAUAGUUUAAUUCAAAUGUGGUUUCAUAAUGAAGAUAUGAGGAGGAUAAUAUACAAAUGGGAUAUCACGGAAGAUCCAGAAGAAAGGGACACAUUGCACCAGGCUAAGAAGACAGGACUACCGUAUCAUCCAGUAACCGCGGUUGGCCAAUUGCAAUACAUUUUUGCGAUGAUGCAAUUCGGAAAUCGGAGUCUUCUUGAUCCAAUGAAUCUCGCUGUCGCGUUAUCUCUGGAUACCAGAACACAACAGGACGCUCAGGAGUUCUCCAAGCUGCUACUGUGCCAUAUAGAAGGAAAGCUGCAGCAAAACUCAGAGCUGAAGCAGAUGCUGCAGAGGCUGACCCAGGGAAAAUACAGCUAUAUCAAUUGUUGUUCUACAUGCGGUACCGAGUAUCCGACGUCUACCACAUUCUACGAGUUGGAUCUACAAUUGGCGGCCACCUUGAAGGAGGCGAUAGACAAGUAUUUGUCCGAAGAGCAGCUGACGGGCGCGAAUCAAUAUCACUGUACCACUUGCAAUGACAAAAAGGAUGCCAGGCGAUUCAUACGAUUAGAAACUCUGCCGGAUACUCUAAAUAUUCAAUUGAUGCGUUUUGUAUUUCAUAGGGAUUCUGGGCAGAAGAAAAAGUUAAAUUCAUAUAUCCAGUUUCCCGAAGACCUCGAUAUGUCGGAAUAUGUUAGGUGUCAGCCGCAAACACAUUUGUACAGCCUCGUCGCAGUAUUAAGCCACAAAGGUCCGUCUGCUCACUCUGGACAUUACAUCGCGAAUAUAUGCAAUUCAAGUGGUGAGUGGUAUCAGUUUAGUGACGACAAAGUGGAAAAGAUGCAGAAUAAACGAAUCGAGGAUGGCGUAAAUGAUAAUGUGAAACCGAUGAAACGAGGCCGCGUUCCGAAAGGAUUCCUUUCAUCGAAUACGGCGUAUAUGUUGGUUUAUAAAAAAUUAACUACAGAUUGGCCAAUAAGUGCUACAAAGAAAAUGAAAUUGAGAAAACUUGACACGGAAGUGAGCGUUUCCAGUGAUCCUGUUAACUUGGAAAGGCUUAGUGUUAAAGACAAAUCGGAUACGUUAGAUGAAGCACAACGGAAAAAUGGUGUUGGAAAUGUAUCACCCAUAGAAGAAGAAAAUCCUCAGAGAAUACUCAAACUAGAUUUGGAGAAUAAAAUGGAAAUAGAUGAGUCUGUGGUAUCUGAAAACACUGAUGUGCCAAUAGAAGUUAGAAAUGAUACUGUAGAAACCGUUGUUAAUACGGAUGAAUGUAAAGACAAGCAUGACCCCUUAACGUUGCAACAAUUGCAGAAUAAAAUUCAGCAUCCAAAGAAACCGAUAGUGAAAAUUGUCAAACUUGAUUACAAACGACUAAACGGUGCUGCACACAGAGCUAUGAGCUGCGGAGAGCGAGAUUUUUACGAAGAGAUGGAAUUCGAGAAUUGGCAAGUGAGUAGCACAAUGCGCGAACUUAUCAGGCAAGAAAAUGUUAAGCAUGAAUUGAGUUUGUUAGCCGCCCAGCAAGAAAAGCAAAAAGAAAUUGAAGAUCAUAAUUUCAAACGACAACUUGUCAUAGAUAUAUAUAACAUUAUCGCAUCGACGAUAUCUUGGAACGAGUAUUAUUGGAUACCAACCGACUGGUUAUCGAAAUGGUUAAAUACAUAUUCUACCGCGGACGGUAUUCCCCCGAUUGACAAUUCAAUUUUAAUGUGCUCGCACUAUCGACUCGACCCAUUAAAAGUCAGUCGUGCAAAAUGCAUACCGGUAGCAGUGGCCGACAUACUUUACGAGAGGUAUCGAGGAGGUCCACGACUAGACCAAACAUCUUUGUGCGAAACUUGCGUGAAGAAACGUUGUAAAUUGUUGCGCUUUAAACUAUCAUUAGAACGUGAUCAUAAAGAAAUUAAUGAACUAAUUCGUACAUUCAAAGAACCUUCUGAGACUAGCUAUAUCAUCGGUACUGAUUCGUUACGAUCAUGGCGAAGAUUAGCUAUGGAAACGUUCUUAGAGGGCAUGGAGCAAGAGGCUGACGAUUGCCAGGACACUCCGCAGGAAGAGAGUAAAAACACAGGGAAGGAUAGCAAUGACUGUUCGAAAGAGGUCGAGGAAAACGAUGGAAACGAGAUUAUAAUUAACUUCAACGAAGAUUUACUUUGCGAGCAUAAUUCGCUCAAAACGGCAGACUCCAGCAGGAAAGUGAUACCUCUAGAGGCGUGGUCGAUUCUUCGGAAAUAUUUUCCGGACUCGAAAGAGUAUACUAUCGGAUCACCGUCUUGUUCAAUCUGCGAGGAGAAAAUGGAAAACGCACAAAGAGCGAAGAAAGACGACAAGAUAAAGGCGAAACAGCAGAAAGAUGAGCUCACCGAUUUGUACUAUGGAAGGAAUAGGAAUGAAAUAUCCAAAUGCGACGAUCCAGCGAAACUAUUUUACAUUGUUGAGAAAGGCUUUUUAGAUAGUUGGCGUUCCUUUAUUCGGGCCGUUCUCGGCAUCCUCGUGGAGCGAGUGGAGGUCGGCUCUGUUAGCAAAUCGACCGACUGCGUCGCGGAUGUUCGAUCUCUUCAUGCUGCGAGCGACCGUCGAGGCUUCCUCUCAAUUUAUGCGGAGACACACUCGAGGACACCGCCAUCAGGUAUUCAGAAUGCCUCGCUCCUGUGCGAGCACAAAGGCUUUCUGUACGCGCCCAGGAUCAACAACGAAUUAUACAGUAUAGUAACGGCGGAGGAAUGGUCGAAGCUCGCGCAAUUCUACGAAGUCGACUAUCCCAUUACCAUAAAGAAGACUGAUGACGACUAUCAAACGACUCCCCGUAGCGGCAAAGAGGCCAAAGAUGGAGAACGUACGGCCCUCACGAACCAGAAGAAAAUUAAAAGGCUCGCACGAGCUCAAAGUGUCAUCCGAGAUCACCUUGAAAGAACUCAAAGUGAUGACGAUGCAGAUUUGCGGGGCCGGGCCGUACGACCAACACAUAAUGCUGGGAGAACACGAGCUGACGGAUCAUAGUCAGAGCUUGGCCGCACUCGGAAUAUUUCCCGGAGCGCUCCUCACGUUGAAGAUCGACGCUCCUAUGGAAAACGAGAACGACGUAGAAUCCGACGCCCACAGUUUCGAGGCGACGUCGCCGGAAAAGGGUUUCAAGGGAACGGAACUGGUGCCGAGCUGAUCUGCCUGAUCGAAUAUAAUCGCGUAGCCAAUUCCGUUCAACGUUUAAUAACGAUAGUUGAUUUAACGCAAGAUAUUUUUAUACAUAUAUAUAUAUAUAUACAUAUAUAAGUAUAUGAGUAUAUCCAAUCCUCCCCAAUUAUAUAUGCCCGUUAUCGACAGAUUAUAAGAAAGAAUAUAAGUCUAUGCUGUUGCGUCUACCUAUGCCUAUUCUAAUAUAUUUGUUAAGAAGGAGUAACGCGAUGAGAGAGAGAGAGAGAGGGAGAUAAGAGAUUCAUGAUAUCUAAAAAGGAAGAGAAUAUCGCAGAUAGUGUAAAGAAGCAAGAAUCUUAGAGAAUGAAUUUAUCAAUUUAACGUUACAUGUGCAGAUUCAUGAUUUUUUGCGGGAUUAUCGACGAGACGUCAAACGUGAAUAUAUAUGUACAUAUUUUAUCUUUUUUUUUUAUUUUUUUUUUAUAUAUUUCAUAUGUAUUCGCGUGAGAGAUCGAGAUUUGUGUACUUGUGAAGACUUAGACUACGAGAACGUUUCUGGACUUCUCUUUAUAGCAAAAUAUAUUUUUAACUUUUUUAACAUGCGUGAUUGUAUACACUAGAUAGAUACAACUGUUUGUUAUCAGUACAUUUUGGCCCGGUUUCAAACGCGUCAUAUAUACAUAUAUGUAUGUGUGUUUUUUUAUUUUAUCGAAGCACGUAUUUCACUAAUAGAGCAGCGUCACGCUUUUAACAUGUACGAGAGAAGGAAAAAACGCGUGCCAACGUUAACACAGUGUUGCAUAAUCCAGCUAUUUGUAUCUUACAUAUAUAAUAUAUAUGUGCGACAUUGUUUCCGCGGAGCAACUUUAUAAAGGAAAACGAAAAAUAUUUUUUUUUAUUUCAUGUCUUUUGUGAUUUCCCUCAUAACUUACACAAUAAAACCUGUACAUGGCAAUACGUCCCAGA
RNAcentral lists this unclassified non-coding RNA (4707 nucleotides) under Harpegnathos saltator (Jerdon's jumping ant). Its description in RNAcentral is "ubiquitin carboxyl-terminal hydrolase 48, transcript variant X3". Lineage: Eukaryota; Metazoa; Arthropoda; Insecta; Hymenoptera; Formicidae. The record is from RNAcentral.